UACGUAGGGGGCUAGCGUUGUCCGGAAUCAUUGGGCGUAAAGAGCGUGUAGGCGGCCCGGUAAGUCCGCUGUGAAAGUCGGGGGCUCAACCCUCGAAUGCCGGUGGAUACUGUCGGGCUAGAGUGCGGAAGAGGCGAGUGGAAUUCCUGGUGUAGCGGUGAAAUGCGCAGAUAUCAGGAGGAACACCAAUUGCGAAGGCAGCUCGCUGGGACGUAACUGACUCUGAGACGCGAAAGCCAGGGGAGCGAACGGG
Molecule: ribosomal RNA, 253 nt
Filed under: uncultured bacterium
Lineage: Bacteria
Description: partial 16S ribosomal RNA
Rfam family: Bacterial small subunit ribosomal RNA
Source: RNAcentral